AGUGAACGCUGGCGGUAGGCCUAACACAUGCAAGUCGAACGGCAGCACAGUAAGAGCUUGCUCUUACGGGUGGCGAGUGGCGGACGGGUGAGGAAUACAUCGGAAUCUAGUUUUUCGUGGGGGAUAACGUGGGGAAACUUACGCUAAUACCGCAUACGACCUACGGGUGAAAGCAGGGGAUCUUCGGACCUUGCGCGAUUGAAUGAGCCGAUGUCGGAUUAGCUAGUUGGCGGGGUAAGGGCCCACCAAGGCGACGAUCCGUAGCUGGUCUGAGAGGAUGAUCAGCCACACUGGAACUGAGACACGGUCCAGACUCCUACGGGAGGCAGCAGUGGGGAAUAUUGGACAAUGGGCGCAAGCCUGAUCCAGCCAUACCGCGUGGGUGAAGAAGGCCUUCGGGUUGUAAAGCCCUUUUGUUGGGAAAGAAAAGCAGCAGGUUAAUACCCCGCUGUUCUGACGGUACCCAAAGAAUAAGCACCGGCUAACUUCGUG
RNAcentral lists this ribosomal RNA (492 nucleotides) under uncultured bacterium. Its description in RNAcentral is "partial 16S ribosomal RNA". It matches the Rfam family "Bacterial small subunit ribosomal RNA", at positions 29 to 507 of the family's 1533-position model. The record is from RNAcentral.